GAAAAAAUGGCCAUUUUGGUCAGGGCCAACUGUUGCCUGAAGAAGGGUAA
Molecule: non-coding RNA, 50 nt
Filed under: Escherichia coli UMEA 3889-1
Lineage: Bacteria; Pseudomonadati; Pseudomonadota; Gammaproteobacteria; Enterobacterales; Enterobacteriaceae
Description: algC RNA
Rfam family: algC RNA
Source: RNAcentral